This 482-nucleotide ribosomal RNA is filed under the name uncultured bacterium. Its description in RNAcentral is "partial 16S ribosomal RNA". It matches the Rfam family "Bacterial small subunit ribosomal RNA", at positions 30 to 507 of the family's 1533-position model. The record is from RNAcentral.
AUUGAACGCUGGCGGCAUGCUUUACACAUGCAAGUCGAACGGUAACAGGCCGCAAGGUGCUGACGAGUGGCGAACGGGUGAGUAAUGCAUCGGAACGUGCCCAGUCGUGGGGGAUAACUACUCGAAAGAGUAGCUAAUACCGCAUACGAUCUAUGGAUGAAAGCGGGGGACCGUAAGGCCUCGCGCGAUUGGAGCGGCCGAUGUCAGAUUAGGUAGUUGGUGGGGUAAAGGCUCACCAAGCCAACGAUCUGUAGCUGGUCUGAGAGGACGACCAGCCACACUGGGACUGAGACACGGCCCAGACUCCUACGGGAGGCAGCAGUGGGGAAUUUUGGACAAUGGGCGCAAGCCUGAUCCAGCAAUGCCGCGUGUAGGAAGAAGGCCUUCGGGUUGUAAAAUGCUUUUGUACGGAACGAAACGGCUCUGGUUAAUACCCGGGGCUAAUGACGGUACCGGAAGAAUAAGCACCGGCUAACUACGUG